CCUACGGGAGGCAGCAGUGAGGAAUAUUGGUCAAUGGACGAGAGUCUGAACCAGCCAAGUAGCGUGAAGGAUGAAUGCCCUAUGGGUUGUAAACUUCUUUUAUCUGGGAAUAAAAUGUUCCACGUGUGGGCUUUUGUAUGUACCAUAUGAAUAAGGAUCGGCUAACUCCGUGCCAGCAGCCGCGGUAAUACGGAGGAUCCGAGCGUUAUCCGGAUUUAUUGGGUUUAAAGGGAGCGUAGGUGGAUUGUUAAGUCAGUUGUGAAAGUUUGCGGCUCAACCGUAAAAUUGCAGUUGAAACUGGCAGUCUUGAGUACAGUAGAGGUGUGCGGAAUGCGUGGUGUAGCGGUGAAAUGCUUAGAUAUCACGAAGAACUCCGAUUGCGAAGGCAGCUCACUGGACUGCAACUGACACUGAGGCUCGAAAGUGUGGGUAUCAAACAGGAUUAGAUACCCCAGUAGUC
RNAcentral lists this ribosomal RNA (460 nucleotides) under uncultured bacterium. RNAcentral describes it as "partial 16S ribosomal RNA". It matches the Rfam family "Bacterial small subunit ribosomal RNA", at positions 338 to 795 of the family's 1533-position model. The record is from RNAcentral.